AUUGAACGCUGGCGGCAUGCCUUACACAUGCAAGUCGAACGGCAGCAUGGAGAGCUUGCUCUCUGAUGGCGAGUGGCGAACGGGUGAGUAAUGCAUCGGAACGUACCGUGUAAUGGGGGAUAACGUAGCGAAAGUUACGCUAAUACCGCAUACGACCUGAGGGUGAAAGCAGGGGAUCGCAAGACCUUGCGUUAUACGAGCGGCCGAUGUCAGAUUAGCUAGUUGGUGAGGUAAAGGCUCACCAAGGCGACGAUCUGUAGCGGGUCUGAGAGGAUGAUCCGCCACACUGGGACUGGGACACGGCCCAGACUCCUACGGGAGGCAGCAGUGGGGAAUUUUGGACAAUGGGGGCAACCCUGAUCCAGCCAUGCCGCGCGAGUGAAGAAGGCCUUCGGGUUGUAAAGCUCUUUCGACCGGGAAGAAAUCGCACAGGCUAAUACUCUGUGUGGAUGACGGUACCGGCAUAAGAAGCACCGGCUAACUACGUGCCAGCCGCCGCCGUAA
This 504-nucleotide ribosomal RNA is filed under the name uncultured bacterium. RNAcentral describes it as "partial 16S ribosomal RNA". It matches the Rfam family "Bacterial small subunit ribosomal RNA", at positions 30 to 523 of the family's 1533-position model. The record is from RNAcentral.